RNAcentral lists this ribosomal RNA (258 nucleotides) under uncultured bacterium. RNAcentral describes it as "partial 16S ribosomal RNA". It matches the Rfam family "Bacterial small subunit ribosomal RNA", at positions 524 to 776 of the family's 1533-position model. The record is from RNAcentral.
UACGUAGGGUGCAAGCGUUGUCCGGAAUUAUUGGGCGUAAAGAGCUCGUAGGCGGUUUUGUCGCGUCUGCUGUGAAAACGCGAGGCUCAACCUCGCGCCUGCAGUGGGUACGGGCAGACUGGAGUGCGGUAGGGGGAGAUUGGAAUUCCUGGUGUAGCGGUGGAAUGCGCAGAUAUCAGGAGGAACACCGGUGGCGAAGGCGGUUCUCUGGGGCAUUACCUGACGCUGAGGAGCGAAAAGUGUGGGGGAGCGAACAGG